ACAGCUGGCGUGUUCGUCGGGGCCAAUCGACGAACGGGGUGUAAGGUUUUGGUGGUCGCGUUCAGACAAUUUGUUCGUAUUAUCUUCGAAUUUUAGCUUUGCGACGUCUCGCAGUUGUUUCGAGGAUUAUACGUGUAUCUUUGUGCGUUUGAAGGAUGAUGAUUUUUUUACGAUUUUUGGGCUGGAUGAGGCUGCAGACAAGAGUCUUAAUGUU
Molecule: long non-coding RNA, 214 nt
Filed under: Brassica napus (rape)
Lineage: Eukaryota; Viridiplantae; Streptophyta; Magnoliopsida; Brassicales; Brassicaceae
Description: long non-coding RNA (BNAP_LNC019971)
Source: RNAcentral